Small nucleolar RNA from Otolemur garnettii (small-eared galago), 70 nucleotides. Lineage: Eukaryota; Metazoa; Chordata; Mammalia; Primates; Galagidae. The record is from Ensembl.
UAUUUGAGAUGAUGCCAAUCAUCUUUCAGGAUUGACCUGAAAUGAAGAGAUUAAUCAUCACUGAUCACUA